This 180-nucleotide ribosomal RNA is filed under the name uncultured Glomeromycotina. Its description in RNAcentral is "partial small subunit ribosomal RNA". Lineage: Eukaryota; Fungi; Glomeromycota. The record is from RNAcentral.
GGGUCAGUAGGUUGGUCGUGCCACAGGUAUGAACUGGCCUCACUGAUUCCUCCUUCCUGAUGAACCGUAAUGCCAUUAAUUUGGUGUUGCGGGGAGACUGGACUGUUACUUUGAAAAAAUUAGAGUGCUCCAUACAGGCAUUUGCUUGAAUACAUUAGCAUGGAAUAACGGAAUAGGACU